GAAAUGCGAUAAGUAGUGUGAAUUGCAGAAUUCAGUGAAUCAUCGAAUCUUUGAACGCACAUUGCGCCCUUUGGUAUUCCUUAGGGCAUGCCUGUUCGAGCGUCAUCUAAACCUUCAAGCCCUGCUUGGUGUUGGGUGCCUGUCCCGCCUCCGCGCGCGGACUCACCUCAAAUCCAUUGGCGGCCCCCGCGUCGGCCACGAGCGCAGCAGAAACGCGAACUCGUGAGCCCGUCCGGGCGGCUCCCAGAAGCUACACCCACCCAGUUUGACCUCGGAUCAUGUAGUGAUACCCGCUGAACUUAAGC
Molecule: unclassified non-coding RNA, 305 nt
Filed under: plant metagenome
Description: partial contains 5.8S ribosomal RNA, internal transcribed spacer 2, and large subunit ribosomal RNA
Rfam family: 5.8S ribosomal RNA (bases 1-105)
Source: RNAcentral